This 468-nucleotide ribosomal RNA is filed under the name uncultured bacterium. RNAcentral's name for it is "bacterial SSU rRNA". It matches the Rfam family "Bacterial small subunit ribosomal RNA", at positions 28 to 482 of the family's 1533-position model. The record is from RNAcentral.
GACGAACGCUGGCGGCGUGCCUAACACAUGCAAGUGGAGCGACGAACCAGGGCUUGCCCUGGGGCAAAGCCGCGAACGGGUGAGUAACACGUGGGUAACCUGCCCCGAAGAUCGGGACAACCCGAGGAAACUCGGGCUAAUACCGAAUGUGAUCGCCGAGCGCAGGCUCGGUGAGCAAAGGAAGCUUCGGCCUCCGCUUCGGGAGGGGCCCGCGGCCCAUUAGCUUGUUGGUGGGGUAAGAGCCCACCAAGGCUGCGAUGGGUAGCUGGUCUGAGAGGACGAUCAGCCACACUGGGACUGAGACACGGCCCAGACUCCUACGGGAGGCAGCAGUGGGGAAUCUUGCGCAAUGCGCGAAAGCGUGACGCAGCAACGCCGCGUGGGGGAAGAAGGCCUUCGGGUUGUAAACCCCUUUCAGGAGGGACGAAGGUUCGGCGGUGAACAGCCGACCGAACUGACGGUACCUCC